AGUCUUAUAGUCAUAAUUAUGACAUAAAAUUGCAAAUUUUAAGGAAUAUAUUAAUAUUAAGGCUU
RNAcentral lists this transfer RNA (65 nucleotides) under Chalcidica minea. Its description in RNAcentral is "tRNA-Cys". The record is from RNAcentral. Lineage: Eukaryota; Metazoa; Arthropoda; Insecta; Lepidoptera; Cossidae.